AACCCAUGAUUUUGGCAUUUUCUCAACAUCAUCUUGAAUCUCUCCCAUGUUUAACAGAAAGAUUCCUCUGCUCCUUGUCUAAACAUAGAAAUUUCAAACUUAGCUU
Molecule: non-coding RNA, 106 nt
Organism: Phaseolus vulgaris (common bean)
Lineage: Eukaryota; Viridiplantae; Streptophyta; Magnoliopsida; Fabales; Fabaceae
Source: Rfam